GGGGAAGGGAUUCGUCCUGAGUAUACUGGCGCACGGGUGAGUAACGCGUGAGAAAUCUACCUAUAAGUUUGGGAUAACAUGCCGAAAGGUGUGCUAAUACUGGAUGUGUUUUAUACUUGCAUGAGUAUGAAGUAAAGAUGGUGCAAGCUAUCGCUUAUAGAUGAUCUCGCGUCCGAUUAGCUAGUUGGUGGGGUAAAUGCUUACCAAGGCGACGAUCGGUAGCCGGCCUGAGAGGGUGGCCGGCCACACUGGAACUGAGAGACGGUCCAGACUCCUACGGGAGGCAGCAGUGGGGAAUCUUGCGCAAUGGGCGAAAGCCUGACGCAGCGAUGCCGCGUGAACGAAGAAGGCCUUCGGGCCGUAAAGUUCUUUCGCUGGGGAAGAAAAUUUUUCGUAGUAACUGACGUUAGAUUGACGGUACCCAGAUAAGCAGCCCCGGCUAACUCCGUGCCAGCAGCCGCGGUAAUACGGAGGGGGCAAGCGUUGUUCGGAAUUACUGGGCGUAAAGCGCACGUAGGUGGUUUUGUAAGUCAGGGGUCAAAGGCUACAGCUCAACUGUGGUAAGGCCUCUGAUACUAUAGAACUGGAGUACCAGAGAGGAUGGCGGAAUUCCCGGUGUAGCGGUGAAAUGCGUAGAUAAUCGGGAGGAACACCAUUGGCGAAGGCGGCUAUCUGGCUGGUAACUGACGCUGAGGUUGCGAGAGCGUACGGUAGCAAACAGGAUUAUAUACCCUGGUAGUUCUACGCUGU
RNAcentral lists this ribosomal RNA (750 nucleotides) under uncultured bacterium. Its description in RNAcentral is "bacterial SSU rRNA". It matches the Rfam family "Bacterial small subunit ribosomal RNA", at positions 66 to 803 of the family's 1533-position model. The record is from RNAcentral.